AUGAUCCUCAACGACGAUGACACUUAUGACUCCAUGAGUGAAGAAGAAAUGGAAGCCCUUGAGCACGUGGCCAUGCAUCGAUGCGUCAACGAAGAUGAAGAUGAUCAAGUCUUUUUUGACAAAGAUUCGAGCCCCGCUCUCUUUGUCUCCAUGGUCUUGACACUUCAACACCAACACGGCGAAGACCAAAGAUGCCAUAUCUUCCACACCAAGGCGGGCAUCAAUGGAAGGUCCGUGAAGGUCAUCAUCGAUGGAGGAAGUUGCCAUAACUUGGCAAGUGAAGAACUAUGCUCCAAGCUCCAAUUGGUCAAGAUGAAGCAUCCCCACCCCUACAAGGUCCAAUGUCUUAGUGACUCCGGCACAAUUCAAGUGGAACACAUGGUUCAAGUCUCCUUCAAGAUCAGAGCAUAUGAAGACACCUUGGAGUGUGAUGUCGUUCCUAUGUCCGUUUGCCAUCUCCUACUUGGACUAUCUUGGCAAUUUGACCGUGGCGUCAUCCACAACGGGCGAACCAAUCACUAUAGCUUCAAGAUGAAAGGAAAGGAGUACAUGCUAUGA
Molecule: ribosomal RNA, 558 nt
Filed under: Triticum aestivum (bread wheat)
Lineage: Eukaryota; Viridiplantae; Streptophyta; Magnoliopsida; Poales; Poaceae
Description: partial small subunit ribosomal RNA
Source: RNAcentral